UGUCUGUGUGUCUGGUGAGUCUCCAUAUUCUGUAAUAUAUAAAAUUAAAGAUCAUUUUUAGAGUUUGACCACUUUGAGCCUUGUGUCUUUUUUGGCCGUAAAGAAUACAAAGAACUGGGAUUUAAUACGCCUCUGCACAAAAAAGUUAAUCAGCACCAGAACCACAAUGAAAGUUUAACUGAACAGGAGUUUUUCAACAGCAACAGAGAACUUACAGGGGAGAAGACUUCAAAACUUGACUUUCUACAAUGAAACUCUAGAGAGGCUAUUUCAGACAAUAACACCAAUUGCAGAUAUUGGAGAACCUCGUCCUGAUCACUGCAGGAGUUGCGCCGUGGUGGGGAAUUCUGGAAAUUUGAGAAGAUCGCAUUAUGGACCUCUGAUUGAUUCCCAUGAUAUCGUAAUAAGAAUGAAUCGGGGGCGUACCAAAGGCUAUGAAACAGAUGUUGGAACCAAAACAACUCAUCAUGUCAUGUAUCCAGAGAGUUCUAUUAGACUGGACAACACCACUCAUCUCUUGUUUUUUCCUUUCAAAACAAGUGACUUUUUGUGGCUCAUGAAGGACUUAAAUCAAGGG
This is a non-coding RNA of Neolamprologus brichardi, 577 nucleotides long. NCBI's taxonomy places the organism in Eukaryota, Metazoa, Chordata, Actinopteri, Cichliformes, Cichlidae. The record is from RefSeq and is a predicted model, not a curated record.